CACCCCAAUGCAUAUAAAAUUUGCAAUAAAAAUCAAGAAAAAACAAAAUGAAUACUCAAGUUGGUGCUUUUGGUAAGAAUAUUGAUUACUUGUCACACCUAAUCACAAAAAUCCUUGUCAUGAUGGAUAGUUUUAGAGAAAUUCUACUUUUUAAACAACUUUUUAACCCAAAUAUGAAAUUUUCAAUUAACCAUGCAGUGCCGCAGACAGGAAAAGAAGUAUAGACUCAUGCAAAGUGAACAUUUUAUGAAAAUCUUUUCACCAAAUGUUCAUUUUAUACAUAUUCUACCUUAAUGUCAACAAUUGAGCCAUAAAAAUAAUAACCC
RNAcentral lists this long non-coding RNA (326 nucleotides) under Mytilus galloprovincialis (Mediterranean mussel). The record is from RNAcentral. Lineage: Eukaryota; Metazoa; Mollusca; Bivalvia; Mytilida; Mytilidae.